GGAGGCAGCAGUGGGGAAUUUUCCGCAAUGGGCGAAAGCCUGACGGAGCAACGCCGCGUGAGGGAGGAAGGUCUUUGGAUUGUAAACCUCUUUUCUCAAGGAAGAAGUUCUGACGGUACUUGAGGAAUCAGCCUCGGCUAACUCCGUGCCAGCAGCCGCGGUAAUACGGGGGAGGCAAGCGUUAUCCGGAAUUAUUGGGCGUAAAGCGUCCGCAGGUGGUCAGCCAAGUCUGCCGUCAAAUCAGGUUGCUUAACGACCUAAAGGCGGUGGAAACUGGCAGACUAGAGAGCAGUAGGGGUAGCAGGAAUUCCCAGUGUAGCGGUGAAAUGCGUAGAGAUUGGGAAGAACAUCGGUGGCGAAAGCGUGCUACUGGGCUGUAUCUGACACUCAGGGACGAAAGCUAGGGGAGCGAAAGGGAUUAGAUACCCCUGUAGUCCUAGCCGUAAACGAUGGAUACUAGGCGUGGCUUGUAUCGACC
This 478-nucleotide ribosomal RNA is filed under the name Microcystis aeruginosa. RNAcentral's name for it is "bacterial SSU rRNA". It matches the Rfam family "Bacterial small subunit ribosomal RNA", at positions 344 to 837 of the family's 1533-position model. RNAcentral also lists the same sequence under 3 other names. The record is from RNAcentral. Lineage: Bacteria; Bacillati; Cyanobacteriota; Cyanophyceae; Chroococcales; Microcystaceae.